RNAcentral lists this small RNA (443 nucleotides) under Drosophila yakuba. RNAcentral describes it as "GE28283". The record is from RNAcentral. Lineage: Eukaryota; Metazoa; Arthropoda; Insecta; Diptera; Drosophilidae.
AUCAAUAUUGAUGAUGAUAGCAGCAGCCGAAGAAGAUGAAAACCAAAAGGAAAGGUGUCCCGAUUGCUUGCAGUGCAUUGAAGGCACUUCCCACCUUUUCUCUCUUUUCCUUUUCGCAAGGAAAUGAUUCACAAUGCAAAAAUGGCAAGGGAAAAGGAAAAGAAAAACGAAGGCGUUGUAGGAGGAAGUAAAAGAACCCGAAAGAGCGAGAGAGAGAGAUGCCGAGAGAAGGCAAUGAAAAUGUUUAUCAAACGAGAAAAGAGCAGCGACGAAGAUGAGGAGGAGGCGGCUGCAAAAGGAACAACAAGCUAGAGAUUACAAUGACAAUGCAUCCAUGAGAUACUCAGAUACAAUUUGAAAUCGAAUAUAGUUUCUCAAUUGAGUUGAGUCGCAGAAUGUAAAUAAACCAACAAUACAUCAUCGAAAUAGGUCGAAAGUAGAAA